UUAUUUUAUUUUCAUCAUCUCCAAAUUUCAAAAGUAUUUUAAAGGUUGGUUUUUAAUUUCUUAUUGUAGCAAAUUAGAUAAGUGGUUUGAUAUUUUUUUGGUAUUUUCAUUUCUUGAAAAUCAUGCUUUCAUUUUCUGAAAAUCAACUUUAAUAUGAAUUUUGUUAUCAUGUAAUAUUUUAUUACUAAGUAAAAUAAUAAGCUACUAAUAAAAAAUCAUGAAUCCAUCUACUCC
This 234-nucleotide long non-coding RNA is filed under the name Theobroma cacao (cacao). Its description in RNAcentral is "long non-coding RNA (TCAC_LNC006320)". The record is from RNAcentral. Lineage: Eukaryota; Viridiplantae; Streptophyta; Magnoliopsida; Malvales; Malvaceae.